This 141-nucleotide small nuclear RNA is filed under the name Myotis davidii. RNAcentral describes it as "U1 spliceosomal RNA". It matches the Rfam family "U1 spliceosomal RNA". Rfam says of the family: U1 is a small nuclear RNA (snRNA) component of the spliceosome (involved in pre-mRNA splicing). The record is from Rfam by way of RNAcentral. Lineage: Eukaryota; Metazoa; Chordata; Mammalia; Chiroptera; Vespertilionidae.
AUACUCACCGGCAGGGGAGAGACCAUGAGCGAUGCUUAUCCAUUGCCCCCAUGAUGUGCUGUCCCCUGCGAUUUCCCCAAAUGUGGGAAACUCAGCUGCAUCAUUUGUGGUAGUGGGGGCCUGCGUUCAUGCUCUCCCCUA